UAACGCGUGGGUAACCUGCCUCAUACAGGGGGAUAACAGUUAGAAAUGACUGCUAAUACCGCAUAAGCCCACGGCUCGGCAUCGAGCAGAGGGAAAAGGAGCAAUCCGCUUUGAGAUGGCCUCGCGUCCGAUUAGCUGGUUGGUGAGGUAAUGGCCCACCAAGGCGACGAUCGGUAGCCGGACUGAGAGGUUGAACGGCCACAUUGGGACUGAGACACGGCCCAG
RNAcentral lists this ribosomal RNA (225 nucleotides) under uncultured bacterium. RNAcentral's name for it is "partial 16S ribosomal RNA". It matches the Rfam family "Bacterial small subunit ribosomal RNA", at positions 111 to 334 of the family's 1533-position model. The record is from RNAcentral.